GAAGGCAGUGCUUAGUCCUAUACAAGCAGCUGCCAUGGCUGCAGAAAGAAGAUUGAAAGAUGAUUUGUGGUGUGGUUCCAAGUCUUUGGAGAACAAUUCAGGUAGAGCCAAAAACAUGAAUUCUUCCACGGGACCCUCCAGAACUUCAAAUGCUUUCACUCCUGUUAUAUCCCAAAUUCCACCAGCUGCUUCCUUUCCUACUCAUCAGGAAACUAUGGAUGAUAUGGAAAAUUGGCAGUGCAGUGCAUGUACCCUUCUUAAC
RNAcentral lists this unclassified non-coding RNA (262 nucleotides) under Hevea brasiliensis (rubber tree). Lineage: Eukaryota; Viridiplantae; Streptophyta; Magnoliopsida; Malpighiales; Euphorbiaceae. The record is from RNAcentral.